GACGAACGCUGGCGGCGUGCUUAACACAUGCGAGUCGAACGGAAAGGCCCUUCGGGGUACUCGAGUGGCGAACGGGUGAGUAGCACGUGGGUGAUCUGCCCUGCACUUUGGGAUAAGCCAGGGAAACUGGGUCUAAUACCGGAUAGGACCACGGCAUUCAUGUGCUGUAGUGGAAAGCUUUUGCGGGGUGGGAUGGGCCCGCGCCCUAUCAGCUGGUUGGUGGGGUAAGGGCCGACCAGGGCGAGGACGGGUAGCCGGCCUGAGGGGGUGACCGGGCGCACUGGGACUGAGAGACGGCCCAGACUCCUACGGGAGGCAGCAGUGGGGAAUAUGGCACAAUGGGCGCAAGCCUGAUGCAGCGACGCCGCGUGAGGGAUGACGGCCUUCGGGUUGUAAACCUCUUUCGCCAGGGACGAAGCGCAAGUGACGGUACCUGGAGAAGAAGGACCGGCCAACUACGUGCCAGCAGCCUCCGUAA
This 478-nucleotide ribosomal RNA is filed under the name uncultured bacterium. RNAcentral describes it as "partial 16S ribosomal RNA". It matches the Rfam family "Bacterial small subunit ribosomal RNA", at positions 28 to 523 of the family's 1533-position model. The record is from RNAcentral.